Molecule: transfer RNA, 72 nt
Filed under: Camelus bactrianus (Bactrian camel)
Lineage: Eukaryota; Metazoa; Chordata; Mammalia; Artiodactyla; Camelidae
Also listed under: 2 other names
Rfam family: tRNA
About the family: Transfer RNA (tRNA) molecules are approximately 80 nucleotides in length.
Source: Rfam by way of RNAcentral
GAGGGUAUAGCUCAGUGGUAGAGCACAUGCUUCACAUGCAUGAGGUCCUGGGUUCAAUCCCUGGUAUCUCCA